RNAcentral lists this ribosomal RNA (497 nucleotides) under uncultured bacterium. Its description in RNAcentral is "partial 16S ribosomal RNA". It matches the Rfam family "Bacterial small subunit ribosomal RNA", at positions 28 to 507 of the family's 1533-position model. The record is from RNAcentral.
GAUGAACGCUGGCGGCGUGCCUAAUACAUGCAAGUCGAGCGAACAGACGAGGAGCUUGCUCCUCUGACGUUAGCGGCGGACGGGUGAGUAACACGUGGAUAACCUACCUAUAAGACUGGGAUAACUUCGGGAAACCGGAGCUAAUACCGGAUAAUAUAUUGAACCGCAUGGUUCAAUAGUGAAAGACGGUUUUGCUGUCACUUAUAGAUGGAUCCGCGCCGCAUUAGCUAGUUGGUAAGGUAACGGCUUACCAAGGCAACGAUGCGUAGCCGACCUGAGAGGGUGAUCGGCCACAAUGGAACUGAGACACGGUCCAGACUCCUACGGGAGGCAGCAGUAGGGAAUCUUCCGCAAAGGGCGAAAGCCUGACGGAGCAACGCCGCGUGAGUGAUGAAGGUCUUCGGAUCGUAAAACUCUGUUAUUAGGGAAGAACAAAUGUGUAAGUAACUAUGCACGUCUUGACGGUACCUAAUCAGAAAGCCACGGCUAACUACGUG